RNAcentral lists this ribosomal RNA (407 nucleotides) under uncultured bacterium. RNAcentral describes it as "partial 16S ribosomal RNA". It matches the Rfam family "Bacterial small subunit ribosomal RNA", at positions 30 to 526 of the family's 1533-position model. The record is from RNAcentral.
AUUGAACGCUGGCGGCAGGCCUAACACAUGCAAGUCGAGCGGAGCGGCGGACGGGUGAGUAAUGCCUAGGAAUCUGCCUGGUAGUGGGGGAUAACGUCCGGAAACGGGCGCUAAUACCGCAUACUAUCAGAUGAGCCUAGGUGGGAUUAGCUAGUUGGUGGGGUAAUGGCUAACCAAGGCGACGAUCCCUAGCUGGUCUGAGAGGAUGAUCAGCCACACUGGAACUGAGACACGGCCCAGACUCCUACGGGAGGCAGCAGUGGGGAAUAUUGGACAAUGGGCGAAAGCCUGAUGCAGCCAUGCCGCGUGUGUGAAGAAGGCCUUAGGAUUGUAAAGUACUUUAAGUCGGGAGGCGUUACCGACAGAAGAAGCACCGGCUAACUCCGUGCCAGCCGCCGCGGUAAUAC